GACGAACGCUGGCGGCGUGCUUAACACAUGCAAGUCGAACGGAAAGGCCCUGCUUUUGUGGGGUGCUCGAGUGGCGAACGGGUGAGUAACACGUGAGUAACCUGCCCUUGACUUUGGGAUAACUUCAGGAAACUGGGGCUAAUACCGGAUAGGAGCUCCUGCUGCAUGGUGGGGGUUGGAAAGUUUCGGCGGUUGGGGAUGGACUCGCGGCUUAUCAGCUUGUUGGUGGGGUAGUGGCUUACCAAGGCUUUGACGGGUAGCCGGCCUGAGAGGGUGACCGGCCACAUUGGGACUGAGAUACGGCCCAGACUCCUACGGGAGGCAGCAGGGGGGAAUAUUGCACAAUGGGCGGAAGCAUGAUGCAGCAACGCCGCGUGCGGGAUGACGGCCUUCGGGUUGGAAACCGCUUUCGCCUGUGACGAAGCGUGAGUGACGGUAAUGGGUAAAGAAGCACCGGCUAACUACGU
Molecule: ribosomal RNA, 467 nt
Filed under: uncultured bacterium
Lineage: Bacteria
Description: partial 16S ribosomal RNA
Rfam family: Bacterial small subunit ribosomal RNA
Source: RNAcentral